Long non-coding RNA from Odontomachus brunneus, 2368 nucleotides. RefSeq lists it as uncharacterized. The transcript has 4 exons. The record is from RefSeq and is a predicted model, not a curated record. NCBI's taxonomy places the organism in Eukaryota, Metazoa, Arthropoda, Insecta, Hymenoptera, Formicidae.
CGCGAAGGUAGACGGAUCGGGAGAGCUCGCGCGUGAUUCCCGAUUUUUCCGAGUUGAUCAAAGUGUGCGUGAGGCAUGUUGCGUUAUAUUGAACGUGCAAUCGUGCUAGAAUUGUUUGAAACGUUAGCAGCAUCGAGUCGUGAGGAUCUGACGGUUACAGAUCUUGUGGCUACACGGUGAGUGCUGUUCUUGGAAGGUGCAAGUGGAUGUGCGUGCUGCACCAGAGGAUCGGGCCAAGCAGGAUUGGCUCGAAAAGUUAUUGCGAAACAUGGCUGAUCCUGAUCUCCAAGUAGUCGACAUUAAACCCUCUAAAUACGAAGAAGUCUGUUGUUUGUGCACCUUCGCAAGUACGCAGCCGACAAAUGCUCGCGAGAAGGAGCGUGUUAUUACGAGCGAACGGAUUUCACACGAGAUUUCAUCGUGCGCGAGGAGCAGAGAACGCGAGGCGAGUAAUCGCCACUCCUGUCGCUCAAGUUUAGAACUGAUACGUACAGAUCACAUCACCGUUACAAUGGACCUUAACACCCAUCAGUCAAUACGAAUGCACUCGUUCGUCCUUGAUAAACGGACGUGCACGCUUUAUGGGCCACCUGUUGCACGUACGCGCGUCUCCUCGUCGAACUUUUAGACUUGCAUCCGGAUGAAAGAAAAGGCGCAUCGGCUGGCGCCUGUUAAAUCGCUCGCAGAUGAACCUUUUUAUUUAGAAGAGUGUAAUCGGCUGAAUCGCGCGUUGCCCUGCGAGUGUGUCGGUGCUUCUCGGCUGUCUCGGUCAAGUCCCGCUCUAAAGUUCAACAACGUGAUUUGACGGGGUCUCGCGAAAAUUAAUUCCCAAGUCCCUCUCGCCUCCACGUGUAUUUAUGCAACUGCCGUUGUAAUUACGCAUAAUUACGCGUGCACCGGGAAGCACGUUCGGGGAAGGUGCGACACGGCACGGCAAAUAUCGCGAUUAUCGUCCCGCGGUUGUCGUCGUCGUCGUCGUCGUCGUCGUUGGAGACGGCGGCGGCGGCGGAGGUAGCGGCGACGACGACGACGGCGGCACCGUGCAGCAGCACCCGUGGAAACACCUUUAUCUGGUGGUCGAAACGGCCGUUUCCGGUAUCAGGGAGCGACGAAACUCACGGCCCGAACUCACCGGGGCACUCCGGCCGCCACAAAUCACUGGCAAUCUUGAUUUACUUGUGUUUGCCCAUUGGCUCGGUAUCACUUCUGCAGUAGUAAGUGUAAUAUACUCGGUUCGAGCGAGGGAGAGAAAGAGAGAGAGAGAGAGAGAGAGAGAGAGAGAGAGAGAGGGAAGGAAGAAAGAGAGAGAGAGCGCGCGCACCGGGCGCCUAAGCAACCCUACAAGCACCCCCGGUUUACCAUUAGGAAGCGCGAGAUUAGGUACUCCCUGGCGCUGCUGGAGUACCGAUACUAUCGCCCACACGUACACACGCCCCGCGUUCGCUCGCUCGCGUCGCACACUUCCACAUCUAAGGGUGAACCCGCGCGCCACCCUCGCGCACCCCGCGCAGACUUCAGGAAAUCCCGAAUAAAGCUCGCCCCGCCCGUGCACUUUGAUACCUAUGCUCGGGACUUCUGAGAGACAGGAUUCGAGGCUUCCCCUAUUAUGACUUCUCGGCGACGUUUCUGGACAGCAUCGAGAUAGGCGGCUUUGUCACGUGGGCGCUUGUCUCCCGUCGCAUCCCGAAGCUGUCGUUCGUUGCAUCUGUCGUUGAUCAUUUUAACUGCAUGUGCGAGUGAUUGGACAGUAAAUUAAUUGGAGAUUGUGUGACUGAUAUAAUGGCGUCAACUCUCUAAGUUAAGCACAGUGUAAGUGUAAAUUAGUAAAGCAGGGACAAGCUUUCUGACAAGGCAAGACCUGCUGACUGAUCUUUAGGCGCAGGAUCAAUUGAACAAUCAUAGGCACGUUAUCGCAAAUGUAACAUUUUAACAUUUCCACAUUUUAUCGAGUGUAAUAACAGUGAACAUUAUUAGCAUGACUGAUUUUGAUUUGCACCUAUUUUAUUCCCUUCAGUCUUUUAUGAGAAAAACGUGGUAAUGUUCAUUUUUCUGUAUUGGACCUUAAUCUGCCCAUCAAAGCGAUAGCUUUCUUAUAGUCUAUAUUAAGUAAUAACUUCUUUCUAACUUUGGCGCCUUCUGAUGAAAAUUUGAUUAGUAGCUAGUGAUUUAUCAUAAUAUUUAACUUAUGAUUAAUAAUUUAUUAUAAAUUACAUAAGCCUACAAUUGGAGGUGUUGAAAGUUGAUUGGGAUCUGAUAAUGUUUUCUUACGUAAUUUUUUGCGCUGAAUCCGAAUUCGUUUACAGAAUUGCUCUAUUACGUCAGGAUUUCGAGAUAUCCUAACCUAACCUAAAGGCAAACUAAGGCUCAA